Molecule: ribosomal RNA, 470 nt
Filed under: uncultured bacterium
Lineage: Bacteria
Description: bacterial SSU rRNA
Rfam family: Bacterial small subunit ribosomal RNA
Source: RNAcentral
GAUGAACGCUGGCGGCGUGCCUAACACAUGCAAGUCGAACGGACUUACAUUGAAGCCUAGCGAUAUGUAAGUUAGUGGCGGACGGGUGAGUAACGCGUGGGUAACCUGCCUUGUACUGGGGGACAACAGUUGGAAACGACUGCUAAUACCGCAUAAGCCCACGGCUCGGCAUCGAGCAGAGGGAAAAGGAGUGAUCCGCUUUGAGAUGGCCUCGCGUCCGAUUAGCUAGUUGGUGAGGUAACGGCCCACCAAGGCGACGAUCGGUAGCCGGACUGAGAGGUUGAACGGCCACAUUGGGACUGAGACACGGCCCAGACUCCUACGGGAGGCAGCAGUGGGGAAUAUUGCACAAUGGGGGGAACCCUGAUGCAGCGACGCCGCGUGGAGGAAGAAGGUCUUCGGAUUGUAAACUCCUGUUGUUGAGGAAGAUAAUGACGGUACUCAACAAGGAAGUGACGGCUAACUACGUG